Molecule: ribosomal RNA, 270 nt
Filed under: uncultured Atopobium sp.
Lineage: Bacteria; Bacillati; Actinomycetota; Coriobacteriia; Coriobacteriales; Atopobiaceae
Description: partial 16S ribosomal RNA
Rfam family: Bacterial small subunit ribosomal RNA
Source: RNAcentral
UAUAAAGUGGCGAACGGCUGAGUAACACGUGGGCAACCUGCCCUUUGCACUGGGAUAGCCUCGGGAAACCGAGGUUAAUACCGGAUACUCCAUAUUUGUCGCAUGGCGAAUAUGGGAAAGCUCCGGCGGCAAAGGAUGGGCCCGCGGCCUGUUAGCUAGUUGGUGGGGUAGUGGCCUACCAAGGCAAUGAUGGGUAGCCGGGUUCGAGAGACCGACCGGCCUAGAUUUGGGACUGAGACACGGCCCAGACUCCUACGGGAGGCAGCAGCC